Molecule: transfer RNA, 100 nt
Filed under: Duganella sp. 1224
Lineage: Bacteria; Pseudomonadati; Pseudomonadota; Betaproteobacteria; Burkholderiales; Oxalobacteraceae
Description: tRNA-Ser
Source: RNAcentral
GGUGCGGUGUAAAGGCGGUAUGGCUGUAAGUCUUUGAUUUUAGGAUGGAAUAUGGCCUGCAAAGCCGUCUAGGUCGGUUCGACUCCUAUCCGCGCCUCCA